Molecule: non-coding RNA, 316 nt
Organism: Aegilops tauschii subsp. strangulata
Lineage: Eukaryota; Viridiplantae; Streptophyta; Magnoliopsida; Poales; Poaceae
Source: RefSeq, a predicted model, not a curated record
GUCGAUAAUAACAUUUUUCUUCUUUCUGAACAUUUCUAUGGGCAGAUAUUAUCCUCCAAGCUAUAUGAUAUGGACAACACAUGAUUUAUGGAACGAAAAGAGAUCAUGUCAUCCAGAUAAUUAGAUUUCACCGCAUGAUGUUCUUUACCCCAGCCGAGCAUAGUGUGCUGCCGCGCCGUCGAUUUCCACGAAGUGGCCAGCCCGAGCCGAUUCCCCAAUGUGUCAAUGACUACGUCCGCUGCGUGAUCCUGUGGGACAUGACCAAUCCAUUGCCUUAUCAACACAUCGAGGGUGAAUUGAGUUCAGAGCUUUGAGC